CGGCGUGCUUAACACAUGCAAGUCGAACGGGGAUGUCUCGCCGAGGCGAGCUUGCUCAACUCAUGAGACAUCUUAAGUGGCGGACGGGUGAGUAACGCGUGGGUAACCUGCCAUAUACAGGGGGAUAACACUUAGAAAUAGGUGCUAAUACCGCAUAAGCGCACAGUGCCGCAUGGCACAGUGUGAAAAAUGAUCAGUGGUAUAUGAUGGACCCGCGUCUGAUUAGCUAGUUGGUGAGGUAACGGCUCACCAAGGCGACGAUCAGUAGCCGGCCUGAGAGGGUGAACGGCCACAUUGGGACUGAGACACGGCCCAAACUCCUACGGGAGGCAGCAGUGGGGAAUAUUGCACAAUGGGGGAAACCCUGAUGCAGCGACGCCGCGUGAGUGAAGAAGUAUUUCGGUAUGUAAAGCUCUAUCAGCAGGGAAGAAAUACAUGACAGUACCUGACUAAGAAGCCCCGGCUAACUACGUGCC
Molecule: ribosomal RNA, 476 nt
Filed under: uncultured organism
Description: SSU rRNA
Rfam family: Bacterial small subunit ribosomal RNA
Source: RNAcentral